GACGAACGCUGGCGGCGUGCUUAACACAUGCAAGUCGAACGGAAAGGCCUCUUUCGGGGGGUACUCGAGUGGCGAACGGGUGAGUAACACGCGAGUAACCUGCCCUUGACUUUGGGAUAACUUCAGGAAACUGGGGCUAAUACCGGAUAGGAGCUCCUGCUGCAUGGUGGGGGUUGGAAAGUUUCGGCGGUUGGGGAUGGACUCGCGGCUUAUCAGCUUGUUGGUGGGGUAGUGGCUUACCAAGGCUUUGACGGGUAGCCGGCCUGAGAGGGUGACCGGCCACAUUGGGACUGAGAUACGGCCCAGACUCCUACGGGAGGCAGCAGUGGGGAAUAUUGCACAAUGGGUGGAAGCCUGAUGCAGCAACGCCGUGUGCGGGAGGACGGCCUUCGGGUUGUAAACCGCUUUCGCUCAUGACGAAGCUUUGUGUGACGGUAGUGGGUAAAGAAGCACCGGCUAACUACGUG
RNAcentral lists this ribosomal RNA (467 nucleotides) under uncultured bacterium. RNAcentral's name for it is "partial 16S ribosomal RNA". It matches the Rfam family "Bacterial small subunit ribosomal RNA", at positions 28 to 507 of the family's 1533-position model. The record is from RNAcentral.